AUUUAUAAUCUGGCACCUUCGGUGUCCGAGUUGUAAUCUCUAGAAGUGUUUUCCGCGUUGGACCGCACACAAGUCUGUUGGAAUACAGCGGCAUAGUGGUGAAACCCCCGUAUAUGGUGCGGACGCCCAGCGCUUUGUGAUACACUUUCAAUGAGUCGAGUUGUUUGGGAAUGCAGCUCAAAUUGGGUGGUAAAUUCCAUCUAAAGCUAAAUAUUGGCGAGAGACCGAUAGCGAACAAGUACCGUGAGGGAAAGAUGAAAAGCACUUUGGAAAGAGAGUUAACAGUACGUGAAAUUGUUGGAAGGGAAACGCUUGAAGUCAGACUUGCUUGCCGGAGCUUGCUUCGGUUUGCAGGCCAGCAUCAGUUUUCCGGGGUGGAUAAUGACGGUUUGAAGGUAGCAGUCUCGGCUGUGUUAUAGCUUUCCGUUGGAUACGCCCUGGGGGACUGAGGAACGCAGCGUGCUUUUUGCGAAAGACUCGUCUUUUUCACGCUUAGGAUGCUGGUGGAAUGGCUUUAAACGACCCGUCUUGAA
This 533-nucleotide ribosomal RNA is filed under the name Rhodotorula diobovata. RNAcentral describes it as "LSU rRNA". It matches the Rfam family "Eukaryotic large subunit ribosomal RNA", at positions 113 to 658 of the family's 3401-position model. Lineage: Eukaryota; Fungi; Basidiomycota; Microbotryomycetes; Sporidiobolales; Sporidiobolaceae. The record is from RNAcentral.